Long non-coding RNA from Acanthochromis polyacanthus (spiny chromis), 2555 nucleotides. RefSeq lists it as uncharacterized. Lineage: Eukaryota; Metazoa; Chordata; Actinopteri; Pomacentridae. The transcript is spliced from 6 exons. The record is from RefSeq and is a predicted model, not a curated record.
CAGCAGAACCUUCUCAGUUCUGGACCUAUGGACUGGGUCUAUCUAUGUCUGCAUCAUGGCUCCACAUAGAAAAGAACUGAACAGAAGAAGAGAAAAAUCUGACUGAGAGACUCGACAAAGAUGGAAAAAGAUCCAGGAAGAUCAGUGAGCAACUAAAAACCAGUGAAGCACAGAGUCAGCAGGAAUCAGGAGGUCUAGAAGGAGUCAUAGUACCACUAAUCAGGAGGUCUAGAAGGAGUCAUAGUAGCACUAAUCAGGAGGUCUAGAAGGAGUCAUAGUAGCACUAAUCAGGAGGUCUAGAAGGAGUCGUAGUACCACUAAUCAGGAGGUCUAGAAGGAGUCAUAGUACCACUAAUCAGGAGGUCUAGAAGGAGUCAUAGUUCCACUAAUCAGGAGGUCUAGAAGGAGUCAUAGUUCCACUAAUCAGGAGGUCUAGAAGGAGUCAUAGUUCCACUAAUCAGGAGGUCUAGAAGGAGUCAUAGUACCACUAAUCAGGAGGUCUAGAAGGAGUCAUAGUACCACUAAUCAGGAGGUCUAGAAGGAGUCAUAGUAGCACUAAUCAGGAGGUCUAGAAGGAGUCACAGUACCACUAAUCAGGAGGUCUAGAAGGAGUCAUAGUACCACUAAUAAGGAGGUCUAGAAGGAGUCAUAGUACCACUAAUCAGGAGGUCUAGAAGGAGUCAUAGUUCCACUAAUCAGGAGGUCUAGAAGGAGUCAUAGUUCCACUAAUCAGGAGGUCUAGAAGGAGUCAUAGUUCCACUAAUCAGGAGGUCUAGAAGGAGUCAUAGUACCACUAAUCAGGAGGUCUAGAAGGAGUCAUAGUACCACUAAUCAGGAGGUCUAGAAGGAGUCACAGUACCACUAAUCAGGAGGUCUAGAAGGAGUCAUAGUACCACUAAUCAGGAGGUCUAGAAGGAGUCAUAGUACCACUAAUCAGGAGGUCUAAAAGGAGUCAUAGUAGCACUAAUCAGGAGGUCUAGAAGGAGUCAUAGUACCACUAAUCAGGAGGUCUAAAAGGAGUCAUAGUAGCACUAAUCAGGAGGUCUAGAAGGAGUCAUAGUUCCACUAAUCAGGAGGUCUAAAAGGAGUCAUAGUAGCACUAAUCAGGAGGUAUAGAAGGAGUCAUAGUAGCACUAAUCAGGAGGUCUAAAAGGAGUCAUAGUACCACUAAUCAGGAGGUCUAGAAGGAGUCAUAGUAGCACUAAUCAGGAGGUCUAGAAGGAGUCAUAGUACCACUAAUCAGGAGGUCUAGAAGGAGUCAUAGUACCACUAAUCAGGAGGUCUAGAAGGAGUCAUAGUUCCACUAAUCAGGAGGUCUAAAAGGAGUCAUAGUUCCACUAAUCAGGAGGUGUAGAAGGAGUCAUAGUAGCACUAAUCAGGAGGUCUAGAAGGAGUCAUAGUAGCACUAAUCAGGAGGUCUAAAAGGAGUCAUAGUAGCACUAAUCAGGAGGUCUAGAAGGAGUCGUAGUUCCACUAAUCAGAGCUCCUAAAAUGACUCCACAGACAGUGAACUACUUCCACAAUCAAGCUGUAAAACAGACUUCAGCUGCUUCAGACUUGGAUCAGGGGUUCUCAAUGGAAACCAGAGUUAGUGUGAAGCUCAGACAGUGAGAAGGAACCUUCAGAACAUCAACCUCUAUGGACGGAGGACAAGAACUGGACCUGGUUGCUGCUCAGAACUAAACCUACAGAUACGUUUGCUGAAGAACUUGAGAAGAAGCCUGAUGGAUGUUGGAGAACAUUCUUUGGUCAGAUGAAGAUAAAUGAGUUCAGAUGGAGUCCAGAUGUUUGGUGUGAACCUGACCAGGACUACCACAAUGGAUGCAUGGUCCUGACAGUGAAGCAUGGAGAUGGAAGUGUGAUGACAUCCAAAGAACAUCAUCACACAAGAACUUCUCCACUGGAACAAAGUGGAACCAGGACCUGGACCGUGUGAACCCAACAGAACUUUUGUGGUAUUUUCCAGAGGAAGGUAGAGCAACACAACCCUUGAUACCACACCAGGAAGUUCUCACUAGUGUUCCAUCACCUCCACCUUUUCUAAUCUGUAAAAACUGAAUGACACUCGAUACCAAGAAGCCUUUCAGUCCUGCAUAUGAUUGAAUUUUACUGUCAUUAUUCCCUCUGAUUCCUCUCCUGUAGCGUCUCUUCUCUGUCUGCUCUGGUUAUAAAUGGAUGUUUCUGUCUGGACAGUGAGAUCCUGCAUGUGUGGUCAGUCGUGCUCCACUGACUCGUUGGACAAAGAACAGAGAAGCAGGACAGAUGGGAGGACGAGCAGAGAGAGAAGAGGACAUGGACAGAUGGGAAGUGAUGGAAGCAAAGAGAGAGGUGUGAAGUUCACACUCCAGAAAGACAAAACCACGGCGCUGAACCAGCCAGAAACAGGACGGUUCAGGGGUUACUGCAUGAGUCACGUAUUAGACAUUAUUCACUGUGAUAAAUUAAUAAUACAGUCAGAUCCUAACAGCAGUGUUCUGAAGCUGUUCUAGAGCCGAAAACGACAACGAACGUCACAACUGAUGCUGCAAACUGAACAAUAAAACUCUUGGAACCCA